ACAAUUUAGUUUUAAAUGAUUUUAAAUCGUACAAUUUAGCCUCAAAUAAUAUAACGUGCUCUCCUUUCUCGUCGUUCUCAAAUCUUACGACAAUUUUGUAACUAUCCACAACCAUGCUAUCCUCCACAGCCUCAUCUCCACGAUCUGUACUAUAUCUGAACCGAUGCUAUCGCCACUGGCAUUGAUAGAGGUGUGAGUGGGGUAGGAAAGAGGAGCGCGACAUCGACGUCGAAAUGGUGGGGGAAGGGAGAGAGACAAAGAGGAAGAAGAAAAACAAAGGAGAGAGAGAAAUGGGGGAGAAAAAAGAAUUAGAGUAAUUUUGUCAGUUUACUGGAAAUUCAAAGCUAAUAUGUAAAAUUAAGAAAAUGCAUAUUUUUAAAA
This 381-nucleotide long non-coding RNA is filed under the name Ananas comosus (pineapple). Its description in RNAcentral is "long non-coding RNA (ACOM_LNC019331)". Lineage: Eukaryota; Viridiplantae; Streptophyta; Magnoliopsida; Poales; Bromeliaceae. The record is from RNAcentral.